Molecule: unclassified non-coding RNA, 249 nt
Filed under: Hevea brasiliensis (rubber tree)
Lineage: Eukaryota; Viridiplantae; Streptophyta; Magnoliopsida; Malpighiales; Euphorbiaceae
Source: RNAcentral
CACUUGCUUGAUGCCAAAUAUUCCCACCACAAGAAGCCUCAGUCCGAACAAUCUGAAUUCUAAUCAGAUGUUCCAUCAACUUCAUUAUCAGCAACAGCAACACUUCGUUCCAGGCAGUAGCCCUGGGGAUUCUCCUGGAACCAGCAGAGGAAAUGGCUUAUGGAGCAGAACAGGUGCAUCACCUACACUUGCUGCUGCUUCAUCUCUUGGACUCUUCUCCGGGUUGGGUGGCUCAGCUGGUUCAUCAGG